Molecule: ribosomal RNA, 810 nt
Filed under: uncultured bacterium
Lineage: Bacteria
Description: bacterial SSU rRNA
Rfam family: Bacterial small subunit ribosomal RNA
Source: RNAcentral
AGAGUUUGAUCCUGGCUCAGAACGAACGCUGGCGGCGUGGAUAAGACAUGCAAGUCGAACGAGAUUUUUUCCUGUAGCAAUACAGGGAAAAGUCUAGUGGCGAACGGGUGCGUAACACGUGGGCAAUCUGCCUUAAAGUGGGGGAUAGCUCGGCGAAAGCCGAAUUAAUACCGCAUGUGAUCAGGGGAGACAUCUUCCCGAAAUCAAAAGUGGCGCAAGCUACUGCUUUUUGAGGAGCCCGCGGCCUAUCAGCUAGUUGGUGAGGUAACGGCUCACCAAGGCUUUGACGGGUAGCUGGUCUGAGAGGACGACCAGUCACACUGGAACUGAGACACGGUCCAGACACCUACGGGUGGCAGCAGUCGAGAAUUUUUCUCAAUGGGGGAAACCCUGAAGGAGCGGCGCCGCGUGGAGGAUGAAGGUCUUCGGGUUGUAAACUCCUGUCAUUUGGGAACAAGUGCCGGUACGUAACUGCUACCGGCUUGAUAGUACCAGAAGAGGAAGAGACGGCUAACUCUGUGCCAGCAGCCGCGGUAAUACAGAGGUCUCAAGCGUUGUUCGGAUUCAUUGGGCGUAAAGGGUGUGUAGGUGGCGCCGUAAGUCGGGUGUGAAAUCUCGGGGCUUAACUCCGAAACUGCAUUCGAUACUGCGGUGCUUGAGGACUGGAGAGGAGACUGGAAUUCAUGGUGUAGCAGUGAAAUGCGUAGAGAUCAUGAGGAAGACCAGUGGCGAAGGCGGGUCUCUGGACAGCUCCUGACACUGAGACACGAAGGCCAGGGGAGCAAACGGGAUUAGAUACCCCGGUAGUCC